GUGGGGAAUAUUGCACAAUGGGCGCAAGCCUGAUGCAGCAACGCCGCGUGAGGGAUGACGGCCUUCGGGUUGUAAACCUCUUUUAGUAGGGAAGAAGCGAAAGUGACGGUACCUGCAGAAAAAGCACCGGCUAACUACGUGCCAGCAGCCGCGGUAAUACGUAGGGUGCAAGCGUUGUCCGGAAUUAUUGGGCGUAAAGAGCUCGUAGGCGGCUUGUCGCGUCUGCUGUGAAAACCCGAGGCUCAACCUCGGGCCUGCAGUGGGUACGGGCAGGCUAGAGUGCGGUAGGGGAGAUUGGAAUUCCUGGUGUAGCGGUGGAAUGCGCAGAUAUCAGGAGGAACACCGAUGGCGAAGGCAGAUCUCUGGGCCGUAACUGACGCUGAGGAGCGAAAGCAUGGGGAGCGAACAGGAUUAGAUACCCUUGUAGUCC
This 430-nucleotide ribosomal RNA is filed under the name uncultured bacterium. RNAcentral's name for it is "partial 16S ribosomal RNA". It matches the Rfam family "Bacterial small subunit ribosomal RNA", at positions 354 to 796 of the family's 1533-position model. The record is from RNAcentral.